UACGAAGGGUGCUAGCGUUGCUCGGAAUUACUGGGCGUAAAGCGCACGUAGGCGGAUUGUUAAGUCGGGGGUGAAAUCCUGGAGCUCAACUCCAGAACUGCCUUCGAUACUGGCGAUCUCGAGUUCGGGAGAGGUGAGUGGAACUGCGAGUGUAGAGGUGAAAUUCGUAGAUAUUCGCAAGAACACCAGUGGCGAAGGCGGCUCACUGGCCCGGUACUGACGCUGAGGUGCGAAAGCGUGGGGAGCAAACAGG
This 253-nucleotide ribosomal RNA is filed under the name uncultured bacterium. RNAcentral's name for it is "partial 16S ribosomal RNA". It matches the Rfam family "Bacterial small subunit ribosomal RNA", at positions 524 to 776 of the family's 1533-position model. The record is from RNAcentral.